UCCCAGGUAGCUAGAAUGGUAAAGAAUCUGCCUGCAAUGCAGGAGACCAGGGUUCGAUCCCUGGGUUGGGAA
This 72-nucleotide transfer RNA is filed under the name Capra hircus (goat). It matches the Rfam family "tRNA". Rfam says of the family: Transfer RNA (tRNA) molecules are approximately 80 nucleotides in length. Lineage: Eukaryota; Metazoa; Chordata; Mammalia; Artiodactyla; Bovidae. RNAcentral also lists the same sequence under 1 other name. The record is from Rfam by way of RNAcentral.